AUGGCUCAGGAUGAACGCUAGCUACAGGCUUAACACAUGCAAGUCGAGGGGUAACAUGAUUGGAGCUUGCUCCGAUUGAUGACGACCGGCGCACGGGUGAGUAACGCGUAUCCAACCUGCCCCCAUGCUCAGGGAUAACCUUCCGAAAGGGAGCCUAAUACCUGAUGUUGUGCGACGAUGGCAUCAGAAUUGCACUAAAGAUUCAUCGGCAUGGGAUGGGGAUGCGUCUGAUUAGCUUGCCGGCGGGGUAACGGCCCACCGGGGCUACGAUCAGUAGGGGUUCUGAGAGGAAGGUCCCCCCACACUGGUACUGAGACACGGACCAGACUCCUACGGGAGGCAGCAGUGAGGAAUAUUGGUCAAUGGGCGGGAGCCUGAACCAGCCAAGUAGCGUGCAGGAAGACGGCCCUACGGGUUGUAAACUGUCUUUUAUGAGGGGAUAAAGUGGGCUACGUGUAGCUUAUUGCAGGUACCUCAUGAAUAAGGACCGGCUAAUUCCGUGCCAGCCGCCGC
Molecule: ribosomal RNA, 513 nt
Filed under: uncultured bacterium
Lineage: Bacteria
Description: bacterial SSU rRNA
Rfam family: Bacterial small subunit ribosomal RNA
Source: RNAcentral